Molecule: non-coding RNA, 191 nt
Filed under: Thermaerobacter sp.
Lineage: Bacteria; Bacillati; Bacillota; Clostridia; Eubacteriales; Clostridiales Family XVII. Incertae Sedis
Description: 6S RNA
Rfam family: 6S / SsrS RNA
About the family: E. coli 6S RNA was the first non coding RNA to be sequenced, but its function was unknown until recently. It consists of 184 nucleotides that fold into an extended hairpin structure with a large single-stranded internal bulge.
Source: RNAcentral
UUCACCCUGCUGUGAUCGUGAACGCUCGCGGGUGUUUUGAGCCAACACCGCGUACAAGGGAGCCAGUACUCUGCCGAUGACGCCCAUGCCCCCGUCCCGCGGGACGCCUGGGGACGGGCAGAGUCGGCAGGACGGCACCCACCUGCAAUGGCAGGUUCAAAACUUCAGCGCCACGACACGGUGGGGUCAGU